This 253-nucleotide ribosomal RNA is filed under the name uncultured Lachnospiraceae bacterium. RNAcentral describes it as "partial 16S ribosomal RNA". It matches the Rfam family "Bacterial small subunit ribosomal RNA", at positions 524 to 776 of the family's 1533-position model. The record is from RNAcentral. Lineage: Bacteria; Bacillati; Bacillota; Clostridia; Lachnospirales; Lachnospiraceae.
UACGUAGGGGGCAAGCGUUAUCCGGAUUUACUGGGUGUAAAGGGAGCGUAGACGGCAAGGCAAGUCUGGAGUGAAAGCCCGGGGCUCAACUCCGGGACUGCUUUUGAAACUGUGUGACUGGAGUGCAGGAGAGGUAAGCGGAAUUCCUGGUGUAGCGGUAAAAUGCGUAGAUAUAUGGAAGAACACCAGUGGCGAAGGCGGCCGCCUGGCCUGUUGCUGACGCUGAGGCACGAAAGCGUGGGGAGCAAAUAGG